UCUCUCUAGCUUAUAUUUUAGAGUGUCAGUUUGAAGAGCUGAAGGUACUGUGUGUGGGAGGAAG
Molecule: transfer RNA, 64 nt
Filed under: Orthocoelium streptocoelium
Lineage: Eukaryota; Metazoa; Platyhelminthes; Trematoda; Plagiorchiida; Paramphistomidae
Description: tRNA-Phe
Source: RNAcentral